UGACAUUCCAUUGGGUCCAUCGUUCCCAGCCGAAGACGAAACGAAAACACCCCUGGAAGCGGCGCCGUACGCUCCGAUUGCAAUUGGGUCAAGAUAAUACGGUGAGGAAACGCCAUCGCCGCCUCCAAUUGAGAUCGAAAUGACGUCGACGCCGUCGUUAACCGCAGCAUCAAACGCCGCGAGAAUAUCGGAAUCAAAACAACCCGAGUUUUUCCAACAAACUUUGUAAACCGCUAAACGCGCCUUAGGGG
RNAcentral lists this unclassified non-coding RNA (251 nucleotides) under Hevea brasiliensis (rubber tree). The record is from RNAcentral. Lineage: Eukaryota; Viridiplantae; Streptophyta; Magnoliopsida; Malpighiales; Euphorbiaceae.